GUGGUGCAGCUCUGCGACUUCAAGGUUGAGUUUUCCAUCUGUCGGUGCAGCUCUGCCACUUCAAGGUUGAGUUUCCAUCGAUGACAUCGCCGAGUUCCUGGUGUUCCCAACUGAUAACUUGCUGCUGCUCCGGCUCUCGGCAGCAUCACGGCGGCGCAGUUGGUCAACCAGGGUAUGCCCACCCCUUCCCUGCUCUCCUUCUGUGCAAAAGCAGACACCUAAGCAUCAUAUGUAAUGCGGGCAACAUCUUUGACAAAAUGUCUCUGUUCUUUUUUUCCUUGCGUGACAGAACAUGACAGGUUAAGUAAAACUUUAUACUAAAACUGAGAACAUGACAAAAUGUCUUCCCAUGCAUAGCAUAAGUGAGUCUGUUCCUCUUUGCUGUCUUGAUCAAUACACCAGCAGUGAAGGAGCCUGAGGAAUAAAGAUUAAUAAACUGAAAAUUCCAAGUACAACCCCUACAGUAGGUAUGCAAUUUGAACAAAGGUAAUAGAGUAAUAUGUGCUUGACUGAUAGUUCCAUAUUUAAGUUUAGUAAGAAGCCUGUUGAAGAAUCUCCAAACAUCAAAACAUGCAUUAGGUGGAGUUCACUGCAAUAAGAAACAAAUCACACUCAGAUUAGCAAUGCACAUAAGAGUUUCACGGAUGUACGAUUUAGCAUUCUAUGACAACAUGUGCAACAAGCUUGUUAUGAGUCAUUCAAAACCAUACUUGGGUUAAAAAAAGAAGUACGAUACUUAGUAAUUUAUCAUGUGUGUGAGUUGAAUGAGGUCUCGAUCAUACUAAAGAGUUAUUGUUUUAGCCCUCAUCUGAUGCUAGCCACAGCAUAUCUGAGAGAGCCUGCAUGUUUAGUAUCUUGUGAAACAACAGUUGUAGCUCUUUGACCAUCGGCAAGGCUUCUUUGUUCUUUCUCAUAGUUCAGAGGUUGCAUUAUGUCCAGAACAUGUCAUUUUCAGAUAUAGCAAGCUACUGCUCCAUUUUCAGAAAACUGCUCCAUGGUAGUUGUUGGAAGAUGAAGGCCUAUCAUACACGAUGUAAUACCGUAGUGAAGUCUCGACUAUUCUAUGGUCAGAUCAUUUAGAUGCCACAUCUCCUUCCCAAAUAUGGACUACCAAG
Molecule: long non-coding RNA, 1115 nt
Filed under: Sorghum bicolor (sorghum)
Lineage: Eukaryota; Viridiplantae; Streptophyta; Magnoliopsida; Poales; Poaceae
Description: long non-coding RNA (SBIC_LNC013605)
Source: RNAcentral